This 253-nucleotide ribosomal RNA is filed under the name uncultured bacterium. Its description in RNAcentral is "partial 16S ribosomal RNA". It matches the Rfam family "Bacterial small subunit ribosomal RNA", at positions 524 to 776 of the family's 1533-position model. The record is from RNAcentral.
UACGUAGGGUCCGAGCGUUGUCCGGAAUUAUUGGGCGUAAAGGGCUCGUAGGCGGUCUGUCACGUCGGGAGUGAAGACUUACAGCUUAACUGUGAGCGUGCUUCCGAUACGGGCAGACUUGAGGUAUUCAGGGGAGAACGGAAUUCCUGGUGUAGCGGUGAAAUGCGCAGAUAUCAGGAGGAACACCGGUGGCGAAGGCGGUUCUCUGGGAAUAUCCUGACGCUGAGGAGCGAAAGUGUGGGGAGCGAACAGG